CUGAUAUCCUGUAUGUGGUUCGGCUUUGAGUAGUGUUCCUCUUCCUCGUCUUUGUUGUUCCUUUCGAAGGUAUCAUGGGCGCGCAUAAGCAUGUGUAGGGGAUCCUUCCUCCAUGAUCAACGCCCUUGUUUUAGUCUUUUGUCAAUCUUCUUCUCCGUAGUUUCAGCUUUCCCAUCUUCCUUAUUCUCCACAAACAUCCCCCAAGUACAAUCCAUCAAGCUAAUCAAAGGGGAAGGAAAAAAUAAACUAAAACUAUUACUUAUACGAAUCGAAAUGAAGAUUGUUGGGUGUUAUUUGAUGAUGAAGGGAAUCAAUGGGAAGGAAAGCACGCCUUUCCAA
Hibiscus syriacus is the source of this 339-nucleotide long non-coding RNA. RefSeq lists it as uncharacterized. The transcript is spliced from 2 exons. NCBI's taxonomy places the organism in Eukaryota, Viridiplantae, Streptophyta, Magnoliopsida, Malvales, Malvaceae. The record is from RefSeq and is a predicted model, not a curated record.